RNAcentral lists this ribosomal RNA (535 nucleotides) under uncultured Mycobacterium sp. Its description in RNAcentral is "bacterial SSU rRNA". It matches the Rfam family "Bacterial small subunit ribosomal RNA", at positions 54 to 606 of the family's 1533-position model. Lineage: Bacteria; Bacillati; Actinomycetota; Actinomycetes; Mycobacteriales; Mycobacteriaceae. The record is from RNAcentral.
CAUGCAAGUCGAACGGAAAGGCCCUUCGGGGUGCUCGAGUGGCGAACGGGUGAGUAACACGUGGGUGAUCUGCCCUGCACUUUGGGAUAAGCCUGGGAAACUGGGUCUAAUACCGGAUAGGACUACGCACUGCAUGGUGUGUGGUGGAAAGCGUUUGCGGUGUGGGAUGGGCCCGCGGCCUAUCAGUUUGUUGGUGGGGUGAUGGCCUACCAAGGCGACGACGGGUAGCCGGCCUGAGAGGGUGUCCGGCCACACUGGGACUGAGAUACGGCCCAGACUCCUACGGGAGGCAGCAGUGGGGAAUAUUGCACAAUGGGCGCAAGCCUGAUGCAGCGACGCCGCGUGAGGGAUGACGGCCUUCGGGUUGUAAACCUCUUUCAGUAGGGACGAAGCGCAAGUGACGGUACCUAUAGAAGAAGGACCGGCCAACUACGUGCCAGCAGCCGCGGUAAUACGUAGGGUCCGAGCGUUGUCCGGAAUUACUGGGCGUAAAGAGCUCGUAGGUGGUUUGUCGCGUUGUUCGUGAAAACUCACA